GUAACAAUAGAGAAUGACUCUCGGCAACGGAUAUCUAGGCUCUUGCAUCGAUGAAGAACGUAGCGAAAUGCGAUACUUGGUGUGAAUUGCAGAAUCCCGUGAACCAUCGAGUCUUUGAACGCAAGUUGCGCCUGAAGCCAGUAGGCUGAGGGCACGUCUGCCUGGGUGUCACGU
This 174-nucleotide ribosomal RNA is filed under the name Alhagi sparsifolia. Its description in RNAcentral is "5.8S ribosomal RNA". The stretch from base 16 to 171 matches the Rfam family "5.8S ribosomal RNA". From Rfam's summary of the family: 5.8S ribosomal RNA (5.8S rRNA) is a component of the large subunit of the eukaryotic ribosome. It is transcribed by RNA polymerase I as part of the 45S precursor that also contains 18S and 28S rRNA. Lineage: Eukaryota; Viridiplantae; Streptophyta; Magnoliopsida; Fabales; Fabaceae. The record is from RNAcentral.